ACAGAUGCGAUGACGGGGAAAAAGUCCCAUUGGGAUGCUUCAGAGAGUUGCCGGACGGUGCGAGGCAAUGCGGAGCGAUGGGAUGUCACUGGCCCUUGAGCAUUCAGGCUGAGCCCUUUAUUGGAUUUAGGCCUGAACGGGUUUCCUCACCGUUACCAGAGAGGCGAAAUUCACCCGGCAAACCGGGCCGAUUUUGAAAGUGGGCAUGCUGACGCAUGCCAACGAGAGUGGUACCGCGGAAGUUACAAGGCUUUCGUCUCUUUA
This 264-nucleotide non-coding RNA is filed under the name Oscillibacter valericigenes. RNAcentral's name for it is "T-box sequence". It matches the Rfam family "T-box leader". From Rfam's summary of the family: Uncharged tRNA acts as the effector for transcription antitermination of genes in the T-box leader family. T-boxes are found upstream of many aminoacyl-tRNA synthetase genes and some amino acid biosynthetic genes usually in Gram-positive bacteria. The record is from RNAcentral. Lineage: Bacteria; Bacillati; Bacillota; Clostridia; Eubacteriales; Oscillospiraceae.